CGGAUCAGGUAGGGAUACCCGCUGAACUUAA
Molecule: ribosomal RNA, 31 nt
Filed under: Gremmeniella abietina
Lineage: Eukaryota; Fungi; Ascomycota; Leotiomycetes; Helotiales; Godroniaceae
Also listed under: 2 other names
Description: partial 28S ribosomal RNA
Source: RNAcentral